AGGACGAACGCUGGCGGCGCGCUUAAUACAUGCAAGUCGAGCGAGAACCGGGCCUUCGGGCCCGGGGAAAGCGGCGAACGGGUGAGUAACACGUGGGUAAUCUGCCCUCGGCACCGGGAUAGCCCGGGGAAACUCGGAUUAAUACCGGACGGCCUUUCGAGCCCUCGGGCUCGUCAGAAAAGGUGGCUUCGGCUACUGGCUGAGGAGGAGCCCGCGGCGGAUUAGCUUGUUGGCGGGGUAACGGCCCACCAAGGCGACGAUCCGUAGCUGGUCUGAGAGGACGAUCAGCCACACUGGGACUGAGACACGGCCCAGACUCCUACGGGAGGCAGCAGUAGGGAAUCUUGCGCAAUGGGCGAAAGCCUGACGCAGCGACGCCGCGUGCGGGAAG
This 391-nucleotide ribosomal RNA is filed under the name uncultured soil bacterium. Its description in RNAcentral is "bacterial SSU rRNA". It matches the Rfam family "Bacterial small subunit ribosomal RNA", at positions 26 to 410 of the family's 1533-position model. The record is from RNAcentral.